CCUACGGGGGGCAGCAGUGGGGGAUAUUGCACAAUGGGGGAAACCCUGAUGCAGCGACGCCGCGUGGGUGAAGAAGUAUUUCGGUAUGUAAAGCCCUAUCAACAGGGAAGAAAGAAGACGGUACCUGACUAAGAAGCCCCGGCUAACUACGUGCCAGCAGCCGCGGUAAUACGUAGGGGGCGAGCGUUAUCCGGAUUCACGGGGUGUAAAGGGAGCGUAGACGGCCGUGCAAGCCAGGAGUGAAAGCCCGGGGCCCAACCCCGGGACUGCUCGUGGAACUGUGCGGCUGGAGUGCGGGAGGGGCAGGCGGAAUUCCUGGUGUAGCGGUGAAAUGCGUAGAUAUCAGGAGGAACACCGGCGGCGAAGGCGGCCUGCUGGACCGCGACUGACGUUGAGGCUCGAAAGCGUGGGGAGCGAACAGGAUUAGAUACCCGGGUAGUC
This 441-nucleotide ribosomal RNA is filed under the name uncultured bacterium. Its description in RNAcentral is "partial 16S ribosomal RNA". It matches the Rfam family "Bacterial small subunit ribosomal RNA", at positions 338 to 795 of the family's 1533-position model. The record is from RNAcentral.